UCUGCGUGUUGUGCGAUUGAGCUUUGUAAUGGGGAAAUAGAUCCAGCCCGGAUAGAUUGAUGUCGCCUCUAACCCUAGAACGUCUGAGGCGAAUAACCGAGGUCCGUCGCUCCCCUCCGUGCGGUGGCGAGGCACUGAAGUUUAAGCUUCUUCCCACGCACGACCUUAAACGGUCUGAUUUAUGUCUUCGUCUUUACUUUCAUUGAUUCGUUCUCCACGAUCUGAGAGGCGGCGUAGGUUCAGUAUAAAUAUAUUCCAGGGCUGCUACACGAGAUGCUUGGAUCUACCAAAACAAGAGAUUCAAAAGCUUGGAAGGUGUUUUUGCAUUAAUUCACUUUUUUCUUUGACUUUCUCUAUGUGGGUGUGGAAAACAGAAGGUCCUUUCAUCACAUUUGUUCAUUGCCAACGACAAAGAAAAAUGUUGUGUACGUCACACCUUUUGAAAAAUGUCAUCUUCAGCGACUCUUCAUGUUUUAGCGGAUUUCCCAUUCCUAAACAAAUCCAGUCCUUUUUUUUGUUGACUAUAGGAGGCCACAAUAUCUACAGAAAAGGAAAAUUAGUUCUCAAAUGAAAGCACUUGCAAACCAUUCCCAUUUCCCAGAGUUUACUCAUACAACAUCACCAGAGAAGAGAUAGGAGGGAGAUGAGGGUUAAGAAUGGAUACAUCGAUGGUAAUGGCAAAUAGAAGUUCUCAUGUGGUGAUUGGUGACAAGAUUAAUCGGAUACAAGAGCUGACGGACAAUAUUUUGCAUGCCAACUUCAGGUCUCCUUUACACUGACAAACACGUAAAUCUAAGUAGGGAGUACCCAUGUCUCAUCCUCACCAAUCUCUUCCAUCACACUGCUCUAUUAGUGAGUUAAGUUUCUUUCUCUCUGUUGUUUAUUCAGAUUAUUUAUUUAUUAUUUUCACUAUUAUUUACUUAAGCCCCCAUGUUCUCUUAGGAAUGGUAUAAGAGGCUGAUCAUGAGUUUAUUCUUUGUCAGCCC
Long non-coding RNA from Brassica oleracea var. oleracea, 986 nucleotides. RefSeq lists it as uncharacterized. The record is from RefSeq and is a predicted model, not a curated record. The transcript has 6 exons. Lineage: Eukaryota; Viridiplantae; Streptophyta; Magnoliopsida; Brassicales; Brassicaceae.